RNAcentral lists this ribosomal RNA (253 nucleotides) under uncultured bacterium. Its description in RNAcentral is "partial 16S ribosomal RNA". It matches the Rfam family "Bacterial small subunit ribosomal RNA", at positions 524 to 776 of the family's 1533-position model. The record is from RNAcentral.
UACGGAGGGGACUAGCGUUGUUCGGAAUUACUGGGCGUAAAGCGCACGUAGGCGGGUCGUUAAGUCGAGGGUGAAAUCCUGGAGCUCAACUCCAGAACUGCCUUCGAUACUGGCGACCUAGAGUCCGGAAGAGGUGAGUGGAACUCCUAGUGUAGAGGUGGAAUUCGUAGAUAUUAGGAAGAACACCAGUGGCGAAGGCGGCUCACUGGUCCGGUACUGACGCUGAGGUGCGAAAGCUAGGGGAGCGAACAGG